Molecule: non-coding RNA, 275 nt
Organism: Oryza punctata
Lineage: Eukaryota; Viridiplantae; Streptophyta; Magnoliopsida; Poales; Poaceae
Source: Rfam
GACUUCAACUGAAAAAGUCAUCAAUAACAAAGUUGUAUAACUCAUCAAGAUCUAUAACUUUUAUUUUGGUUAUUUCUUCAUCCGACAAAGUGAUACUAACAUUGUUCACAAAAUUAACGUAUCUCUUAUCGGAUUUUAUAAACUAUAACACAUAUAUGUAAAAUUUGUGAAUAAUAUUACUAAUACUUUGUCGGAUGAAGAAAUGACAAAAAUAAAAGUUUUAGAUCUUGAUGAGUUAUACAAUUUUGUUGUUUAUGACUUUUUCAAUUGAAAUC